Molecule: long non-coding RNA, 424 nt
Filed under: Setaria viridis
Lineage: Eukaryota; Viridiplantae; Streptophyta; Magnoliopsida; Poales; Poaceae
Description: long non-coding RNA (SVIR_LNC005484)
Source: RNAcentral
GUAUUUCCCAAAGGAAGGCAGGUAGGUCAAAAGAGUUUACUAUGCAUAUGAGUUACCAUAGAUGGAUAGAGACAAUACUCAAGGCAGGGGUAAGAUAAUCAUAGAUAUGUAGUGUGACACACACAUGAAUCAUCUCAAGAUAACUAAGCUAGGGCGAAGGACUAAAAGUUAGCUCUAGGUUCAUAUGUACUCAUAUAUACUGCACAAAUCAUACAAGCAUAACAUACAUACACAUUGUAUAGGACUCAGGCCUAUGCACCCAAGCACACAUGGGGAGACAGUACGUACCGGUUCCGCCUAGCAAAGUUACUGCUAAUUUCUAAACUCCUACGGCGUACCCGAACGUGGGGGGUUACAGAGGACAGACAAGGUUGUCACCACCUGCCGCCUACCCCUAGCAAUCCAUGGGGCAAACUCAUAUCCA